GGGCUGCUAGCUCAACUGGUAGAGCAGUGGACUCUUAAUCCAUUGGUUCAGGGUUCGAGCCCCUGGCGGCCCA
Molecule: transfer RNA, 73 nt
Filed under: Candidatus Omnitrophota bacterium
Lineage: Bacteria; Pseudomonadati; Candidatus Omnitrophota
Description: tRNA-Lys
Rfam family: tRNA
About the family: Transfer RNA (tRNA) molecules are approximately 80 nucleotides in length. Their secondary structure includes four short double-helical elements and three loops (D, anti-codon, and T loops).
Source: RNAcentral